Non-coding RNA from Camellia sinensis, 694 nucleotides. NCBI's taxonomy places the organism in Eukaryota, Viridiplantae, Streptophyta, Magnoliopsida, Ericales, Theaceae. The record is from RefSeq and is a predicted model, not a curated record.
AGUUACAACACACUCAAAUGUUCAGAAGUAAAUGAAAAUGAAUUUAUUCCAUUCUGCACUCUGGCAUUUUACAACCCAAACUAUUCUUCAAUUUAAGAUGUGUCAACUGUGGUCAUCUUUGCAAAAAUACCAAGAUGCCAUUUCAUUAACUAAUAAUCCAUAGAAAACACAUGCACACUCACACUCACACACACACACACACAACCCUAUCCCCAUAAUAUAUAUAUAUAUAUAAUAAAAAUAAUAAAAUAAAAUAAAAAAAGCCCAAAAAAAUGAGAAAAUAAUGUAAUAGCAUAGAAUGGACUCUUUACAAGUUUGAACGUUUUGUAAAAUAUAAGGAAUGGCAAUUUUACACGAUAUCUAGAUGAAUGAACUACUAACUUUAAAAUUUAUCUGUAAACUUGGCAGUCUUAUUGAUAGGUUUAUUUCAAAUUAUCACUACAAUACAACCAACAUUUUUGGAGUUUUUAUUUUCACUUGUGUCUAACUAGGUAUUAAAUUUUAUGUUGACAAAUCACAAACCAACUCUCUAACUUGACUGACAAUCCCAAACCAAACACACGCAUAAUAAUAGACUAAAUUGAUUUGUCUCAUAAUAGAUUAACUUCCAAAACCUGCGCAUACUAAGAAUUUUAAAAUUACUCAACUUCUAAGAAUCUAACCACUAAUAACUUCCAAUAUUUAAAAAUAAAAA